Molecule: transfer RNA, 84 nt
Filed under: Orbicella faveolata
Lineage: Eukaryota; Metazoa; Cnidaria; Anthozoa; Scleractinia; Merulinidae
Description: tRNA-Leu
Rfam family: tRNA
About the family: Transfer RNA (tRNA) molecules are approximately 80 nucleotides in length. Their secondary structure includes four short double-helical elements and three loops (D, anti-codon, and T loops).
Source: RNAcentral
GUCAGGAUGGCCGAGCGGUCGAAGGCGCUGCGUUUAGGUCGCAGUCUACUCUUGUAGGCGUGGGUUCGAAUCCCACCCCUGACA